RNAcentral lists this ribosomal RNA (470 nucleotides) under Pseudarthrobacter oxydans. RNAcentral describes it as "bacterial SSU rRNA". It matches the Rfam family "Bacterial small subunit ribosomal RNA", at positions 118 to 600 of the family's 1533-position model. The record is from RNAcentral. Lineage: Bacteria; Bacillati; Actinomycetota; Actinomycetes; Micrococcales; Micrococcaceae.
UGAGUAACCUGCCCUUAACUCUGGGAUAAGCCUGGGAAACUGGGUCUAAUACCGGAUAUGACUCCUCGUCGCAUGGUGGGGGGUGGAAAGCUUUUUUGUGGUUUUGGAUGGACUCGCGGCCUAUCAGCUUGUUGGUGAGGUAAUGGCUUACCAAGGCGACGACGGGUAGCCGGCCUGAGAGGGUGACCGGCCACACUGGGACUGAGACACGGCCCAGACUCCUACGGGAGGCAGCAGUGGGGAAUAUUGCACAAUGGGCGCAAGCCUGAUGCAGCGACGCCGCGUGAGGGAUGACGGCCUUCGGGUUGUAAACCUCUUUCAGUAGGGAAGAAGCGAAAGUGACGGUACCUGCAGAAGAAGCGCCGGCUAACUACGUGCCAGCAGCCGCGGUAAUACGUAGGGCGCAAGCGUUAUCCGGAAUUAUUGGGCGUAAAGAGCUCGUAGGCGGUUUGUCGCGUCUGCCGUGAAAG